GACGAACCGUACAAACGUUAUUCGGAAUCACUGGGCUUAAAGGGUGCGUAGGCGGCGCUGUAAGUUGGGUGUGAAAUCCCUCGGCUCAACCGAGGAACUGCGCCCAAAACUACAGUGCUUGAGGGAGAUAGAGGUGAGCGGAACUUAGGGUGGAGCGGUGAAAUGCGUUGAUAUCCUAAGGAACGCCAGGGGCGAAAGCGGCUCACUGGGUCUCUUCUGACGCUGAGGCACGAAAGCUAGGGUAGCGAACGGGAUUAGAUACCCCGGUAGUCCUAGCCGUAAACGAUGAGCACUAGAUGGAAGGGUCCUCCAUAACCUUUCCAUCGAAGCGAAAGUAAUUAGUGCUCCGCCUGGGGAGUAUGGUCGCAAGGCUGAA
RNAcentral lists this ribosomal RNA (376 nucleotides) under uncultured bacterium. RNAcentral describes it as "bacterial SSU rRNA". It matches the Rfam family "Bacterial small subunit ribosomal RNA", at positions 524 to 898 of the family's 1533-position model. The record is from RNAcentral.